UACGUAGGGAGCAAGCGUUGUCCGGAAUCAUUGGGCGUAAAGCGCGCGUAGGUGGCCCCAUAAGUCCGCUGUGAAAGUCAAAGGCUCAACCUUUGAAAGCCGGUGGAUACUGUGGGACUAGAGUACAGAAGAGGCGAGUGGAAUUCCUGGUGUAGCGGUGGAAUGCGCAGAUAUCAGGAGGAACACCAAUAGCGAAGGCAGCUCGCUGGGACGUUACUGACACUGAGGCGCGAAAGCGUGGGGAGCGAACAGG
Molecule: ribosomal RNA, 253 nt
Filed under: uncultured bacterium
Lineage: Bacteria
Description: partial 16S ribosomal RNA
Rfam family: Bacterial small subunit ribosomal RNA
Source: RNAcentral